UUACUCUUUUUUUUUUUUGUCUAAUAGGAAACAACAGGCAGCAAAACAUGGCUACAACAUCGCUGUGUAAUUUGGAUAACUCUCCAUUAUCUCCGAGGUCAAACAUGGCAUUGUGGCCAGUGAUACGCUUGAGCUUCCACCAGCAUUCUUCUGCAGCACGCUUACAGUGCAGUUUGUUGAAUUUAGUAAAAAAAAGGACAGAUCAGAUCCACCAUUCUUUCUUGAUGACUGGUGGCCCCUCUUCUACGACUGAUGCUGCAACAUCAAAGAAACCCAAAUACUGAAAUAUUGAACUGAACGUUAAAAGGAUUGACAGAGACACAACUUCCCUGCUUUGUUUCCAGUGUAUCAUUUGACGAGGACAGGCAAGUCAUUCAUGUGAAAAGGCCAGCGUGUAUCAAAGAGCUUUCAAGCUGUUCAUUUAGAAAGGCAACAGGAGACUGACUAACAGUAUGUUUACAGGUAUGUAUUUGGCACCAAACUGGAUUUGGGCCAUUAAAAAUGUUCCUUGCAGCCACCUUUUUAAACUGUUUUCUACAUCUCUGAGAAUUAGGUUGAAACUAUUAUUUUCUUACAAGCAAAAUACAAUGUUUGAGAUGUCCUUGCUAGGGCCCUGCAUUCAUCACCAGCUUUGUAGGUUUGUUUGAAUAUUUAUAGAAUUUUGAUGAGGUACUGUGGCUCAAUAGUGCUCAAGAACAAUGAUUAAACAUAAUACAAAAUCCUAACCAUUAAUCACAACAUUACAUGCAACCAUUUUGGUGUAGUAGUAGUUUUCACACACUGAUUGCAUUUUUCACAUUGCAAGAAAUGAACGGACUAAAUGAUCGUGUCUUUGGCAGUUUAAAUAGAAAUGUCACGAUCUGCUUACAGCACAUUUGUACUUCCUUAAUCACGUUUCAUAUAGCUUAUUUCCAUAGAUGAGCCUAUUGUGUCCUCUAACACUGGCUACAUCAGGUAAAAUAAUGCAAAUCAGUUGCUCUCUGACGCAGCAGUUGCUAAAUGCAGAGAAAGCUGAGUCCAACAGUAAUGAUUCUUGCUGGCCUGGUUUUGUACUAUCUGCUAAAAGGAGUGACUUUUUACUGGUAUUAAAAACAAAAAUGCUUUCCUCAGCAAUCAAUUUCACAAAGGGUAAGACGGGGAUAUUAACCCGAUUGGAUUUGUCGUUUAUUUUAGUCACUCUGAGUAAGAUAGCCAGUGUUAAGAGCUUUUUAUUCUGUAUUGUCUAUUUCUUUCCUACACUGCUGAUUGAAUUGAUGUUUUAUAUGCUUUUUGUAGUUCUUGACUGCCUAUAGCAUCAACAAUACCCAACACUUUAUGAUAUUGUCUAUCCCUCUGUUUUUGUGUUGCUGGAUUACACAACAAUUCCAUAGUCAGACAUGUUUCAACAAGCUGAUAUGCUCAUAGAAGGUGAUUAUUUAAUCAUGUGUGCCCUUUGUGUGUACAAAACUGGCUGAAAAGUAUGUCAUUCUUCUCUGUCAGAAGUUAUAGGUCACAACGAUGUAUACUCUUUUGAUAUCUCUAUUUGAAAUAUGUAUGCCUCAUUUAUUUAAGAGAUGGAAACAUUUGAAAAUGAUUGCACAACAAAUCUGCAGUAAACCACCAAAACUAGGGAUUUUAUUGCUGAUUUUCCACUCUACUAAACACAAUAGCUGGAGAAAAAGUGCCUUUUAAGUGUCCUGAUCAA
Molecule: long non-coding RNA, 1684 nt
Organism: Notothenia coriiceps (black rockcod)
Lineage: Eukaryota; Metazoa; Chordata; Actinopteri; Perciformes; Nototheniidae
Exons: 2
Source: RefSeq, a predicted model, not a curated record